RNAcentral lists this transfer RNA (69 nucleotides) under Lophiomus setigerus (blackmouth angler). Its description in RNAcentral is "tRNA-Ala". It matches the Rfam family "tRNA". Rfam says of the family: Transfer RNA (tRNA) molecules are approximately 80 nucleotides in length. Their secondary structure includes four short double-helical elements and three loops (D, anti-codon, and T loops). Lineage: Eukaryota; Metazoa; Chordata; Actinopteri; Lophiiformes; Lophiidae. The record is from RNAcentral.
GAGGCCUUGGCUUAAUUAAAGUGUUUGCUUUGCAUGCAGAAGAUGUGGGCUAGUGUCCUACAGGUCUUA